CCUACGGGAGGCUGCAGUGGGGAAUAUUGGGCAAUGGGCGCAAGCCUGACCCAGCAACGCCGCGUGAAGGAAGAAGGCUUUCGGGUUGUAAACUUCUUUUCUCAGGGACGAAGAAAGUGACGGUACCUGAGGAAUAAGCCACGGUUAACUACGUGCCAGCAGCCGCGGUAAUACGUAGGUGGCAAGCGUUAUCCGGAUUUACUGGGUGUAAAGGUCGUGUAGGCGGGACUGCAAGUCAGAUGUGAAAACCACGGGCUCAACCGGUGGCCUGCAUUUGAAACUGUAGUUCUUGAGUACUGGAGAGGCAGGCGGAAUUCCUAGUGUAGCGGUGAAAUGCGUAGAUAUUAGGAGGAACACCAGUGGCGAAGGCGGUCUGCUGGACAGCAACUGACGCUGAGGCGCGAAAGCGUGGGGAGCAAACAGGAUUAGAUACCCUUGUAGUC
RNAcentral lists this ribosomal RNA (443 nucleotides) under uncultured bacterium. RNAcentral describes it as "partial 16S ribosomal RNA". It matches the Rfam family "Bacterial small subunit ribosomal RNA", at positions 338 to 795 of the family's 1533-position model. The record is from RNAcentral.